Molecule: ribosomal RNA, 497 nt
Filed under: uncultured bacterium
Lineage: Bacteria
Description: partial 16S ribosomal RNA
Rfam family: Bacterial small subunit ribosomal RNA
Source: RNAcentral
GAUGAACGCUGGCGGCGUGCCUAAUACAUGCAAGUCGAGCGAACAGACGAGGAGCUUGCUCCUUUGACGUUAGCGGCGGACGGGUGAGUAACACGUAGGUAACCUACCUAUAAGACUGGGAUAACUUCGGGAAACCGGAGCUAAUACCGGAUAAUAUUUCGAACCGCAUGGUUCGAUAGUGAAAGAUGGCUUUGCUAUCGCUUAUAGAUGGACCUGCGCCGUAUUAGCUAGUUGGUAAGGUAACGGCUUACCAAGGCAACGAUACGUAGCCGACCUGAGAGGGUGAUCGGCCACACUGGAACUGAGACACGGUCCAGACUCCUACGGGAGGCAGCAGUAGGGAAUCUUCCGCAAUGGGCGAAAGCCUGACGGAGCAACGCCGCGUGAGUGAUGAAGGUCUUCGGAUCGUAAAACUCUGUUAUUAGGGAAGAACAAACGUGUAAGUAACUGUGCACGUCUUGACGGUACCUAAUCAGAAAGCCACGGCUAACUACGUG